RNAcentral lists this ribosomal RNA (857 nucleotides) under Clostridium botulinum. Its description in RNAcentral is "partial 23S ribosomal RNA". It matches the Rfam family "Bacterial large subunit ribosomal RNA", at positions 1288 to 2161 of the family's 2925-position model. Lineage: Bacteria; Bacillati; Bacillota; Clostridia; Eubacteriales; Clostridiaceae. The record is from RNAcentral.
GUGAGAAUGCUGGCAUAAGUAGCGAGAAAUAAGUGAGAAUCUUAUUGGCCGAAAACCUAAGGUUUCCUGAGGAAGGUUCGUCCGCUCAGGGUUAGUCGGGACCUAAGCCGAGGCCGAAAGGCGUAGGUGAUGGACAAUCGGUUGAUAUUCCGAUACCGCCUAUUUACGUUUGAGAAAUGGGGUGACGCAGUAGGAUAAGAUGUGCGCACUAUUGGAUGUGCGUCUAAGCACUUAGGCAUGCUUGAUAGGCAAAUCCGUCGAGCUAAGCUGAGGUGUGAUGGGGAGCCAUUUAUGGCGAAGUAUCUGAUUCCACACUGCCAAGAAAAGCCUCUAUCGAGUGAAUAGGUGCCCGUACCGCAAACCGACACAGGUAGGUGAGGAGAGAAUCCUAAGGCCAUCGGAAGAAUUGCUGUUAAGGAACUCGGCAAAUUGACCCCGUAACUUCGGGAGAAGGGGUGCCUACGAAAGUAGGCCGCAGAGAAUAGGCCCAAGCAACUGUUUAGCAAAAACACAGGUCUCUGCUAAAGCGAAAGCUGAUGUAUAGGGGCUGACGCCUGCCCGGUGCUGGAAGGUUAAGGGGAACACUUAGCGUAAGCGAAGGUGUGAACUUAAGCCCCAGUAAACGGCGGCCGUAACUAUAACGGUCCUAAGGUAGCGAAAUUCCUUGUCGGGUAAGUUCCGACCCGCACGAAUGGCGUAAUGAUUUGGGCACUGUCUCAACAGCAAAUCCGGCGAAAUUGUAGUGCAAGUGAAGAUGCUUGCUACCCGCGAUUGGACGGAAAGACCCCGUAGAGCUUUACUGUAGCUUAGCAUUGAAUCUCGGUAUUGUCUGUACAGGAUAGGUGGGAGACUUGGAA